CAAACUACCCUAUGGAUGGGGAUAAUCUCGGGAAACUGACCAUAAUACCCAACAGAUCAUCAAUUCUGGAAUGGUUGAUGAUUCAAAUGAUUUUUCGCCAUAGGAUGGGACUGCGGCCUAUCAACUUGUUGGUGAGGUAAUGGCCCACCAAGGCAAUUACAGGUACGGGCUCUGAGAGGAGAAGCCCGGAGAUGGGUACUGAGACAAGGACCCAGGCCCUAUGGGGCGCAUCACGGGAGAAAACUUUGCAAUGUGCGAAAGCACGACAAGGUUAAUCCGAGUGAUUUCUGCUAAAGGAAUCUUUUACCAGUUCUAAAAAUACUGGCGAAUAAGGGGUGGGCAAGUUCUGGUGUCAGCCGCCGCGGUAAAACCAGCACCUCAAGUGGUCAGGAGGAUUAUUGGGCCUAAAGCAUCCGUAGCCGGCUCUGUAAGUUUUCGGUUAAAUCUAUAUGCUCAACGUAUAGGCUGCCGAAAAUACUGCACAG
RNAcentral lists this ribosomal RNA (485 nucleotides) under uncultured Haladaptatus sp. RNAcentral's name for it is "bacterial SSU rRNA". It matches the Rfam family "Archaeal small subunit ribosomal RNA", at positions 105 to 591 of the family's 1478-position model. Lineage: Archaea; Methanobacteriati; Methanobacteriota; Halobacteria; Halobacteriales; Haladaptataceae. The record is from RNAcentral.